GAGAAAACGCACAGACCAGAAGACACCCAGACAGUGGGCUGUUCUCACUGACGACAUUUGUGCCGCAUUCCUCCUCGCCCCUGGAGUGCAUUGCGACACUCAGACUGGUGGUUCUGGGAGCCAAGCAGCUGAUGGGAGAGCCUCAGGAGGCAGCAGAGACAAAUUAAUCUUCAGAUCCACCAGUUCCCCUGAAACAUACCACUUGCUAAACUGAAUUUCAAGCCAAGAGCGGCAGUUUUCCACAGCCCAAGUCUGGAAAAGCCUGUGAAACCAUGUUGGGUUCGAAACCAAAGUUGGUUUUUUGCUGUUUUUCGUGGAGCACCAGAGGGACAACUCCAGAAUUCCAGAUGUGAGGCAGCUGGAGGGACGUGUGUGUCCAGACAUCUGCACAGCAGCUUCAGAAAGGCGACCACGGACAGCAGCUAAAAACCACCACUGACGACCUUCUUUCUCUUUUCUUACCUGAACCUCUGGACUUACUUGUCUGAAAAGAGAGAGGAAAAAAAAAAAGCUGGCACUCAUUGUUUUGUUUUCUCAAUUUUCUUGUCAACUGACUCAUGAUAAAAGAAUGUCCUUUUCAAUCAAUUUCAAUUCCGCAGAACAGAAAAAUAGAGAAUUUAUAGGCAACUAUUGGAAACAAAGGAACCAUCUGUUUUUUUAAGUAUAAUUUUUCUCUGAAAUCGUUCUCUCCAAAUACUUGGAUCAUUUAUUUUCCCUCACCGCACCACUCUGCAGUGACCCAGAGAACCCCAUUGUCCAACCCAGGGAUCAAGGUGGAGAGAGAGGAGCACCACCUCCACCCUGCCAUCCCAUUCAAGAAUACACCCAGAGGCUGCAAUCAGGCUUCAGAAGCUUCUGGACGCCCACAAGCUGGAGACUCUAUGUAGGACUUGACCAGGAGCCACACCUGAAGCAGCAAGAGAAUGGUACCCAGCUCACUGCUGCCUUCUGAAUCUCACGCUGGGACAUCAGGACACUGGAUCCAAUUAUUUAUUCUCAUCUACCUCCCCACUGGCCAUAAAAAU
This is a long non-coding RNA of Bos taurus (domestic cattle), 1025 nucleotides long. The record is from Ensembl. NCBI's taxonomy places the organism in Eukaryota, Metazoa, Chordata, Mammalia, Artiodactyla, Bovidae.